GUCAAUCGUGGAUCAGGGAAAGCGAAGGCAGGAGCGUGAGGUGAACUGAAUUUCAGAUUACCCAUGGAAACAUCUGCCAUUACAAUUAUCUCAUGCACCUGCUCGCUGGACUUACCUGCAUACAGCUCAGCCACAGCUACGUUGCAGACUCCAUUCUGUUUCUCGCCUGCCCACCCCCGCUUCACUACCUGUGAUCUUGGAUCAAUUCAUACCAACAUUCACCCGGACCUCCGCAACCUCGCCUCGCCCUCUCACGUUCCUUCACCUGCAACAAAUGUCUCAGGCUACCGGCUCUAGCACCCCUGUGUCCUCAUCAACUUAUAAUAACUGAUAAUUCAUGCUCUAGCUCGAGAAUCUUGUUACGUCAUGUGCCUAUUACCCUGAUCGUAACCCAAGUUGUUCCCAGUCCAAUCUUCGCCAACG
This is a long non-coding RNA of Oreochromis aureus, 423 nucleotides long. NCBI's taxonomy places the organism in Eukaryota, Metazoa, Chordata, Actinopteri, Cichliformes, Cichlidae. The record is from Ensembl.